This 229-nucleotide ribosomal RNA is filed under the name uncultured bacterium. RNAcentral's name for it is "partial 16S ribosomal RNA". It matches the Rfam family "Bacterial small subunit ribosomal RNA", at positions 568 to 796 of the family's 1533-position model. The record is from RNAcentral.
UACGUAGGCGGAAAAUUAAGUCAGUAGUGAAAUCCUGCAGCUUAACUGUAGAACUGUUAUUGAUACUGGUUUUCUUGAAUAUAGUUGAGGUAGGCGGAAUGUGUAAUGUAGCGGUGAAAUGCUUAGAUAUUACACAGAACACCGAUUGCGAAGGCAGCUUACUAAGCUAUGAUUGACGCUGAGGUACGAAAGCGUGGGGAGCGAACAGGAUUAGAUACCCUGGUAGUCA